Molecule: long non-coding RNA, 364 nt
Filed under: Ananas comosus (pineapple)
Lineage: Eukaryota; Viridiplantae; Streptophyta; Magnoliopsida; Poales; Bromeliaceae
Description: long non-coding RNA (ACOM_LNC003472)
Source: RNAcentral
GAAUAUUGAACCUAGAGUCAAUGAACCUAGGCUAAGAAGAUAAUGACAUUGAACCUAAUGUAUUAACUUAGGUUGAGUAAAGGCUUGGACCUAGAUAGGUCGAUAACAUAGGGUGAGACCAACCCUUGAGUUAUGUAAAGUGGAUUUCGGAAUCCCUGCUGCGAGUGCAGCGGCUGCUAGUGCAGCAUACAAGCUCGAUAGUUCUUGGCCGCUGGUGCAUGUGGCAUGUUCCUCUCCCACCGGAAGAACUUCGAGGCUUGUUAUUGAGCAAGAAUCAUGAGCGCUAGGGUGCAUGUGGCAUGUUCCUCUCCCUAUCGGGGAUCUCGGCUGCGGGUGUUUGCGGCAUGUUCCACUCCCACCGGGG